ACCAAUUCAAAUUAUUCUUGUCUACCACUAGUAAUUAGUUAGAGUUUCUUAUGCUUCAUUCCAGCCUAUACGUCACCACAAAAACUCACAAAAACAAUCUCUUCUUCUCCUCACUUGACCGAAUCUUCUUCCUCCAUUUGCCAAGGAAAUUUCAACUUCAUCUUCUUUCUUUUUGCUCCCUAAAUCUUGCUCUAACCUAGCCUAUUCUCUUGGAUCAUCCUCAAGCUUAGUAGGAGACCUGAAGGGGGAGAGAUUCUUGGUGAUUUAGAACCUGAUUUCUUGUGAGGGAAGGUGAUCAAGAGAAUCAUGAGGAGCUCGUUUGAUCUUGCCUUGCUCUUGCUUUACAUUCUUGAUUUCGGCUGACAUCAAGAGGAGCAUUGGACGAACGUGGUAAACUUGAUGAGGAGACACUUGUCAAUGUAAAUAACUUGAUGAAGAGAGGUUCAAAAAUUAAGGGAUCAAGUGGGUUUAGUAACGAGU
Long non-coding RNA from Coffea arabica (coffee), 480 nucleotides. RefSeq lists it as uncharacterized. Lineage: Eukaryota; Viridiplantae; Streptophyta; Magnoliopsida; Gentianales; Rubiaceae. The record is from RefSeq and is a predicted model, not a curated record.